AUUAAACGCUGGCGGCAUGCCUUACACAUGCAAGUCGAACGGCAGCACGGGGGCAACCCUGGCGGCGAGUGGCGGACGGGUGAGUAAAGCAUCGGAACGUAUCCUGGAGUGGGGGAUAACGUAGCGAAAGUUACGCUAAUACCGCAUAUUCUGUGAGCAGGAAAGCAGGGGAUCGCAAGACCUUGCGCUCUGGGAGCGGCCGAUGUCGGAUUAGCUAGUUGGUGGGGUAAAGCCUACCAAGGCGACGAUCCGUAGCGGGUCUGAGAGGAUGAUCCGCCACACUGGGACUGAGACACGGCCCAGACUCCUACGGGAGGCAGCAGUGGGGAAUUUUGGACAAUGGGCGCAAGCCUGAUCCAGCCAUGCCGCGUGAGUGAAGAAGGCC
RNAcentral lists this ribosomal RNA (385 nucleotides) under uncultured bacterium. RNAcentral describes it as "bacterial SSU rRNA". It matches the Rfam family "Bacterial small subunit ribosomal RNA", at positions 29 to 416 of the family's 1533-position model. The record is from RNAcentral.